CCUACGGGAGGCAGCAGUGGGGAAUCUUGCGCAAUGGGCGAAAGCCUGACGCAGCCAUGCCGCGUGAAUGAUGAAGGUCUUAGGAUUGUAAAAUUCUUUCACCGGGGACGAUAAUGACGGUACCCGGAGAAGAAGCCCCGGCUAACUUCGUGCCAGCAGCCGCGGUAAUACGAAGGGGGCUAGCGUUGCUCGGAAUUACUGGGCGUAAAGGGAGCGUAGGCGGAUAGUUUAGUCAGAGGUGAAAGCCCAGGGCUCAACCUUGGAAUUGCCCUUGAUACUGGCUAUCUUGAGUACGGAAGAGGUAUGUGGAACUCCGAGUGUAGAGGUGAAAUUCGUAGAUAUUCGGAAGAACACCAGUGGCGAAGGCGACAUACUGGUCCGUUACUGACGCUGAGGCUCGAAAGCGUGGGGAGCAAACAGGAUUAGAUACCCUGGUAGUCCACGCUGUAAACGAUGAGUGCUAGUUGUCGGCGUGCAUGCAUGUCGGUGACGCAGCUACGACAUAAGUACACUCCGCCGUCGGGAGGUACGGUCGGCGAAGAAUUAAAACUUAAAAGUAAGUUAGUACGGCGUGAGACGNGCCGACGGACGACGACGAGGGAGGUAGG
Molecule: ribosomal RNA, 608 nt
Filed under: uncultured bacterium
Lineage: Bacteria
Description: bacterial SSU rRNA
Rfam family: Bacterial small subunit ribosomal RNA (bases 1-518)
Source: RNAcentral